This is a long non-coding RNA of Ictalurus punctatus (channel catfish), 1331 nucleotides long. Lineage: Eukaryota; Metazoa; Chordata; Actinopteri; Siluriformes; Ictaluridae. The record is from Ensembl.
AAACUCCGCUGUUCCGAACGUAUGAAGCGUUGGAUUUUUAUCUAGUUAACUCAUUUAGCCUUUGUGAUGUAGAUCUGAAAUUUCAAAUCUCAUCGACUUGAGCAGGAUGUGAAGAAGGCUGAUAACCAGCGCCCGCGCUCAUCACGUUCCUUUUGAAUCGCACUCUUUCACCUGUUCCUGUUCGCAGCACGGGGAAUUGCUUUCGUGUGCAUUGCCUUCGGUGCGAUCCUAUGCGUUUAGGCGGCAGGAGUUUAUUGCGGAUCGACAUUGUGUGGAAAUGGGAAAUGCAGGGAAGGGAAAGAAAAAUUAAAAAAAAUUAAAUAAAUAGACGAAAACCCUUCUCGGGCUGUAGCGUUUGUCUUGCUUUGUGUUUUUUUUUUGUUGUUUUUUUUUUUAUUUUAUAAUUGGUCACUCUUCUAGCCGGAUAUUCUAAUAAUAGUUUCGAAGGCAGGAAGUGCGCUGGUGUUGUGAUGAUCUGCCGAAAUUAAACUAACAAUGCGAAUCUUGAUUACAGAUGAGCACGACGGCUCUCGCGUCCCGCUGAUUGCUGAAGCGUGACCAGCUGCGGCGCAGCUUAAAAAGCAAUGCUGUUUCUGUCCUUGGUCAGAAAAUGACCAGAAAUAAAUGCUUUUAUAUGAGAAAAGCAGAGACGUGAAACACAGGAAACAAACGCUUCAUGUUAGACUCAAUAAAUAAGGGAUUUUUUAAAUAUAUAUAUAUAUAUAUAGAUAUAUAAUAAAUUUAAGCAGUUCUGCUAUUCGUUGUAGGUUGCUAGUCUCGUUAUGUACAAACACACAUCUUUAAUGACCUGCCGUGAGAAGCGGAGUGUAAACAACCCAAUUCCAGCAUGACUUCCCCUCAGAACUCGUAACAUCACAUGUGACAAGGGAUGAGGGUCUAAUCCAGAGCGCGUUCUUCAUAUCGAUGCACGUGCACUUGUUAGUAAGAACAGUGUUUACUUUCUGGGAAGUAUGUAUCGAGCGGUAUUGGCUGGCUCACUGCCUAACUUGCUACCUGACUAGCAGACUAAAGGGUUUAUCCUUCAUGUCCAAUAAAUCAAUGUUGUUUUUGAAAGCUGAAGUAUUUUAUUUGAUCUAUUGUAAAAAAAAAUCAUUUUUAAGUGGGUUUUCUCCUGAAUUAUUGGGCGGCUGUGGAUCAGGUGGUAGAGCGGGUCGUCCACUAAUCGUAGGGUCGGCGGUUCGAUUCCCGGCCCACGUGACUCCACGUACCGAAGUGUCUUUGGGCGAGACACCGAACCCCAAGUUGCUCCCGAUGGCAAGUUAGCAUCUUGCGUGGCAGCUCUGCUACCAUUGGUGAGUGAAUGAGACACA